UCGCAGAAGCCCACCGGGUUACUUCCGUAGACCUGCACCCGUUUUCAUAAUAAGGGGUUUCUUGCAAUUUCGAGUUUCUACGCUGCGCUCAAACAACACCAAAUUAGGGUUUCUUCCUCACACCCUCUCCUUUAUAAACACCUCCACUUUCUCGUUUCCAAUUAUUCUCUCCAAGCUUCAAUCUUUUAUGCCUUUUUCGUUCUAGAAAUAGUUUUAAGUUUUUGGGUUUGUCUUAUUCCACUUUUCAAACCCUAAUGGGCAUCGUGUAUGAGCUGAUGCAACAGUAAUUCCUCCCUGCAAUUUCUUCUGUUCUGUUGAUAAUUUAUUUGGUUGAAUUGAGUUCUGUUGUUUUUUUUACUUUGAAAUUUUGAAUGCUUUGGGUCUAGUUGUUGAUUGCAUAGAUAGAAGUGAUGAUUAUUUCCCCAGAUGAUCGAAGAUGAUAUAACUGUGCGAUUUAUUUCUCGUUAGAGAAAUCAAGCCAAUUAAUCUGAUCUAUCUUUGCAUAUCAAUGUUUGCUUAUUAUAAUAUUUUGUAUUAGUAAAUUUAUUUCAAUCCAAGUUGAAAAAAAUGAAAGAUAUAUGCAAUAUUGUAGAUUAUAGUUAAUAAACUCCAAAGUAUAUGGUGUUAUGGUUCAUAGUCAUUCGGUAUUUUUUAGUUGUAGUAAUGAGCAUUGGGGUUUCUUAUACUAAAUGCAUAAACAAUCGUUGUGUUCUUUGUCAUUUUAGUUGUAGCACUCUAGUAGUAAUUUUCAAUGUCAGAGAUGGAAGUGAUGAUUUUUUCCCCAGAUGAUCGAAGCUGAUAUUACUGUGCGAUUUAUUUCUCUUUUUAGAGAAAUCAAGCCAAUUAUUCUGAUCCAUCUUUACAUACCACCAUUUACAUUCAAGUUUGCAAAUGUUGUGGAAAUGACUGUUACUGUUUUUUUUUCAUUGCUAAUCUUUUAAUACAAGUACGAGGAUUAGUAAAUUUUAUUUCAAUCUUACUAAAAAUAAAUUUUAACAUGGAUCCUAUAGGGACGGUGGUCUGUGUUAAAACUUAAAAACACAAUCCCAUGGCUGCAUAUUAGUUGGUGUUUCAAAUUUCAGGCCGCAUCGUCAUUCUAUCAUAAUAUUGUGUUUGUGAUGAUUAUCGUAAUUAUAUCACACUGUAAUUUUGAUAUGGUACCAAAUCACAAUUAUGUGAAAGGUGAAAACCAACAUUUUUUAACAUAUUAAUCAAAUUAAAUUGCAAGAACUUGCUAAUGGCACCAAGCUCGGGUCAGAGGAGAAAAAAUUGCUGGAAAAACUUCAUAAUUGGAGUCUGUCUAUUCAGAAGUGUUAGGACACGAGAAUGAAGUGUUAGAACAUACAGAUUACUGUACAUUCUUAAAUAGGAAAAUUUACUUGAUAGUGUAGUUUGACUAUACUAUCACACGUUUAGUAUGUUUGAGAAAUAUUACCGGAUUAGUGUAACUUUUGUGCAACUCCUUGAUGCAGAGUCGUGCACCAAGAGUACGAGAUUGACAUCAUCAAAUAACUGGUGCAGCCUAUUCACGAGUCCCUUAUGUUGUUAAUUA
This 1552-nucleotide small RNA is filed under the name Lupinus albus (white lupine). Its description in RNAcentral is "hypothetical ncRNA". The stretch from base 761 to 857 matches the Rfam family "Small nucleolar RNA Z103". Lineage: Eukaryota; Viridiplantae; Streptophyta; Magnoliopsida; Fabales; Fabaceae. The record is from RNAcentral.